This 4103-nucleotide long non-coding RNA is filed under the name Acanthaster planci (crown-of-thorns starfish). RNAcentral's name for it is "uncharacterized LOC110974786, transcript variant X3". Lineage: Eukaryota; Metazoa; Echinodermata; Asteroidea; Valvatida; Acanthasteridae. The record is from RNAcentral.
GGCCCUCUAUCCCGAUAGUACGGAAGGCCUCCCCCCGCCUGCUCAUGCCGCACUUGCUCUGUUGUGUUAAAAGGGAAAAUUCCCUUCCCAUGUGCGUGUCCAGUCCGCGUAUGUCUGUUAUAUGUGUGAGGAGGGUUUUGAUUAAACUUUGCCAUGUUUACAAAUAAAAAAUUGCUGAAAAUAGCAUCACUUACACUGUCUGCCCAAGCGCGAUAAACGGAUCACGGGGUGUGUGAGCUGCUGGGAUUGGACAUGUGUACAGUACACUACUAGUAGCAUAACACAAAACACAGAGCACUCUUUUGUAUGUGUAUUUUUGGAUGUGCUUCACCAAACCUGGCUGGCGGCGGAUGUGUCUUGGUUUCUAAUCGUACCGCUGACUUGUUGGGCAUCUGUCGUCACGUGAAGGGUCGUCAACCAAGGUGGUUCUGGACAGCAGUAUCAGGGACAACACAAGCAGGGGGGAUGGGCUUUGGGGGCAAUAAAGAUAGGGACUGACUGACUUAGCAGUUCAUGUUUGACGGAAGUUUCGCUUUCACGACUGGAACAGUUUCCAUCGAUGAGAGUAUUAUUUUCCAAUUUCCAGUUACACUGUUACAUGUACAUUAUGUAUACAUGUACAGUGUUUUUGUAUGCACCAGUCUGCCGAAUUUCAAAAUCCAACAGUGCUUGACAGAAGACUUGGAAGGUACAAACCAAGCCAAUGUCUCGUCCACACCUAGCCCCAAACCAAUCAACCCCUGGUAUCCAGCGAGCUGUCAAAACAUUGCAUUCCUGAGACACCUGCAAACAGGGAGCGAAAAGGGUCUCUGCCUGUGAUUGCCAUUGAAAUGCACCCUUACUUGCUCAACACCGGUGUUCCCUCAGAUGCAGAAAUGUCACGUUGCUGUCCCAGUCUCGACACGCCUUACUCUGUGUGCGGCACGUUUUCUCUCUCCCCGCUACCAGGACAUGGUGAAGGGUUUCAUGUUUCAUCAGGUUCACCUCACCCAGCGAAGUUCUACAUGAUAACACGGUGUAAUACAGCAUUGGUUUCCCUUUCAGUCUGAGCCCGGCACUCCGCCAGACUGUAACACAUCCCCUCCUGGUGUACCUACUGGGAGGUGAGAGAGUCCGUAAGCCGGGCGACUUUUGAAUGAUUGAUGGGCCCCAAUCAUUUAUUCAAUGACUCAUUUAAGCAUUGUUUAAUCAUUGAUUCCAGACACAUCCCUUGUUUGCCCAUGCAAUUUGGCAGUGGGUGAACGGCCAUUCUAAUCUUAGGGGGAGGGAAGAAUUCAGCCAAACCUGCCUAUACUGGGCCCUUGUUUCUCGCGAUUUUUGUAAUCAAGUCAGUUGGUUUUGGAUUACUUUCCCUACAGACCUUACUGACACAUUUUACUUUAAUGCCACUCUUGUUACUCGAUGUAGUUGCUUCCGUUAAAAUUCUCAACCUCUGAUUUGAAAAUCUGACCGUCAGCUGAAGACCCUUGGAUUUGUCUCGGAAAGUGAAGGUCCUUAUGAGGUAAGAAUUGCCUUGUUAAAUGGAUUGGUCAGAGAGAGGCACAGUUGAGGGAACCAAAGAGGGCAGUGUCAGUGCCCAUUUCAAUUGGUGGUUGUUACUGGCUCUGAAAAACAAAUUGAAAGAAAUUUUGAUUUCAGACAUACGAUCUCAAGCAGCCGACUGUACUAACUGACUCGGUGGUUCAGAUCAAUUUGGGAGAUUUCAGUUGGGCCAAACAUUAAGUAACCUGUAAUAUGUGGCAGCACAGCAAGACAAAAAGAAAGUUUCAUUCUGGGAAGAAAAAAGAGAGGAAAGAGUUUCCAUCAAGAAUAAAUGGGAUGGCUGAAAUUAGUUCUUGGGGGGGAAGUAUGUUUGAGAAUCUGUCAGAAAUGUUCUAAAAUUGUUCUAAAGAUUUCAGAACACUUCUGAGAGUUCUACCAGAGUUGUCAAUAUUUAAGUUUAGAUGGAGGACGAGGGCUUUAUGAUUUGAGGAAUGCAGGGUUAAAGGAGAGAUGCAGUAUGAUUUUUAUGACUUAAAUACAUGUAGGGAAGCUUUCUUGAAAUGUCCACCUCUUUUGAAACAGUAAAAGGGGAAGCCUUCAACAUUUUGGUUUUCAUGCCAAUGAAAACUUCCAUGUUUAUAAGCCAGAACGUGAUGCCAGUCAAGGCAGAGCAGUUGUGUAACCAUUCCUCUGUGUAAAAAUAUAUGUCACACUUUUCUACAUUUUUUUAGCAUGUUCCUCCUUUUACUUGUUUAUGAGUUUGUUCAUACAAUAUGAAUGGCCAUCAUUGGUGGUAGAUUUGGUGGUCUAUUUUGAAAUUGUUUAUUUUAAAGGGCAAAUUUUUUGCAAGUUUUUCUUGCCCUCUUUUGAUAAAGAGUGCCUUGAAAAUAAAAGAAAAGUAGUGCCUUCUGAGUAGUAUCGAUGAAAGGAUUUUCCAAGAAUGGAAAGACCACUACCUUUUGUCACGACCCAAUGGAAACAAAGUGUCAAUUGUAUUGUUAUAAUACAUAGUGAUAUGUAUGAAAACAAGUUGAGCUGAAUGUACUUUGUGUGCUUCCUUCGAACUCCCUCCCCUUUUCAGUUCCUCCCUCCCAACUGCCUGUAAUGAGUGUUUCAUCAGCCGCUGCUGUAAAGUUCUAUCCUUUUCUUUAUCACCCGGCAUGGCACCGACCGAUAAGGCACCGCAGUUCACUUCUCAGUCCCAACUGCAACCCUCCCCGUCUUCAAGUUGGCUCCAUAUACUUACCCAUUUCCCGCAUGACUGUCUGACCGCCUGACCGCCAUACAUCUUGAUUAUACUUCGACAUUUACUCCAGAAAAAAAAAAUGUGUUAAGGUUGAAUUACCUUUUCUGCCAUCCACAUUUAUGGCUACACUUUGAUGAGUGAUAACAACAAAACAAGAUGUUUUACACAGUCAACAGCUUUGGUCCGGAUGUGACUCCAUUUCACUAAUUCACAAAAGGAUUAGCUAGUGGACUCUUUACCCCAACUUCACCCUGCCCUGCCAUCAAAGUAACGAAGUGGCUUCCGCCAGCUCUUUGUGAAUCUUUGUUGAUUUUGCAGAUCUUUGACAGAAAAUUGCUUUUAUAACCUGGGUGGAGUGUUGUUCAUUGAAAUGAAUCCCUGGAUUGCUUGCUCUGUUCUGAUUCUGUCUUUAGGCUCAGCAAUCUUGCGGUUAUUUGUUCUUGUCAGUCAAUGCAUCAUCUAUCCCCCUGUCCUAAGGAAAGGCAGACAGACAAAUUUUGGUUUAGCAAUUUCUUCUUGUAGAAAAUAAUCAAACACCCCCCCCUCAUUCUUUUCACACAAAUCUUUAACACUUGUGACUAAACCUUCACAUUGCCUUCCAGAACAUUGGCCGUAUUGGAAAUAUGGGCUCAGAUAACACUGGGGGUAACAGUUUCAAGUAUUUCACUGGGAGUGGACAGACAUUGCAAUCCUGGAUGAAACCCAAUUGUCAGUAUUCAUGAGUGGUAAUGUAUAAAGACCUGGUGUGGCAACAAUCUGAUGCAUCAGAUCGUCCUGUUUGAACUUUUGUGGUGGAAGAACUACAGGUGCUCUUUGGAAAUUGCAGGGUCUCUUGCUGUGUUGAACAUCAGCAGUUUAACUCCCUCCUUUAACAUCUGUCACCCCCACCCCUUAAUUCUUACCGACUUUUGUGGUUUUGGUCAUUUGGUUCAACUCAAUUGACAUAUCCCUUUCAAAUUGAAAUGCAGAGUGAAGACCUCAGAAAAUCUCCUUGUUAGUUGCUCAUAAAAUACUCCAUUCUGAGGAGAAAAGGGUCAUGUUGCUUUUUUUCUGCAAGUCAUGUCACAAGUCAUUUUUCGUCAAGUCACAAGUCAAUUUGUCCCAAGUCAAACUGCAAUUUCAAUUGUCUUAGUCAAGUUAUGUCACACAUUUGUCCAAACUCAUUUAUUUUUCAAGCCUAUCUAAUGGCAUACUUGACAUGCUGUUGUUUCCAUCACUUUUGACCCAUUUUCCAUUCUUGUGUGGUGUAUACUUUUCAAGUGUGAUCGAUAUAGACAGCACUGUGACACUGCCAACAAUCAUUUGAAAUAAAAACUUGCUUCAGUCCUGCAUUUUGAGAUUUUUUCCAUUUGGAUUGUUGCAUCAUGAAGUGACA